This 88-nucleotide microRNA precursor is filed under the name Linum usitatissimum (flax). RNAcentral describes it as "miR398f stem-loop (lus-MIR398f)". Its record names the gene lus-MIR398f. The record is from miRBase by way of RNAcentral. Lineage: Eukaryota; Viridiplantae; Streptophyta; Magnoliopsida; Malpighiales; Linaceae.
CCGGGUCGACUAGAGAACACACGAAGAGAAGUCCGCAACGAGUGGGGCGCUUCGUUUCACUUUCCUGGGUGUUCUCAGGUCGCCCCUG